This is a non-coding RNA of Zootermopsis nevadensis, 2270 nucleotides long. The record is from RefSeq and is a predicted model, not a curated record. NCBI's taxonomy places the organism in Eukaryota, Metazoa, Arthropoda, Insecta, Blattodea, Termopsidae.
AGGGGUAUACAAUGCAACCCAGUAGACAUUCGUCUUCGUACAUUUAUGUGAACGCAAAAGUGUGUUACAGACUAGAACAAAUUAUUGACUGAACCGUUCGUUACAGCAGGAUUUUGGUUUCCAAGCACACAGAUUUAUGGUGAUAUACGUGUUCGAGGAGAAUAGGAGAUCGAGGGGUGAGGGCGUUCACGCCGUCGGACGCUGGAAGCCGCUUAUCUGGAAAACCAGCCGAUAAUGCGCGGAGCUAUAUGGCACUACACACACACUCACUCACUAGAGAGUAUAAGGGAAGCGGGGUUAUCAUGGCGAUGAAGGGGAAUACGUUCAUUUCAACCCGUCUUCAGUGAAGAAUUGUACGACGGUGGGGGAGGGCAGAAGGAAUUGAAGAUGGGAGAAGAAUCACAGUAGGGAAAAGAAAAAUCUAUGAAGUUGACCGAAAUGCUGAGGUCCGGCAAUAUGGCGAAAGAGAAGAAGAAAAAUGAGAAGAAAGGAGGAUGGAUGGGUUGUUGGUUCUGUGUGUGUGUGUGAGUAAUUUACACACACGUAGAAGGAGGUUUGUUCGUGCAAGAUUAAGAUGAAGCGUCUAAGUUCUCUCUCCUCCGCGACGUCACGCGUAUGGGCGGCCAAUGAUGUUACAGUCUGCAUGCCCGUAAAUGUCCAGAAAGGAACAUUCCACCUGCCUCCGAUAUUCUCUUGGCGUCAUUUUGUUCGCCACGUCUUCUUUACCGAGAUUGUGACAGCGAACAGUAGGAACAUAAGGAUGGGAUGCGAAUUUUAAAUUGAUUUUACUUAUAUCAGACUCAUGUUCAAUUUGCAUUAGUCCAGAAAUAUUAAUGAUUGUAACGGUGACUGGCAUAUAUAUGUGCAUUGAAUGCAUGUGUCAUUUGCCGGCACCUGGUUAGAAUUUCAUGACUAACCACCAAGCGCUACAAAAUUUCCGUACACGAGACAAGUAUUGCUCCAGAAAAACUAUGAAAUCAGCUUAUCUUUUGUACAGCAGUUCUGCCAGAAGCCGGGAAAAGACAUUCGGUUUAACUGCUUACUGCCAACAAUACUAACUGGACUGCCAUAAUAAUUUAGAAGUAUAAGAAUAUUACCACAGUUUUAUGCGUUGCCCUGUAAUUUUGUAAAGUGAUACGAUAUUAAGUAAUGUGUGCAAGUUUAUUAAAGUCGUUGUGGUAAAUUCAGAAUAGACGUAAGAACAUAAGGGCCGUGGAAAAUAUUUUGCUCUCUUACCUGUAGCAAAUUAUUUGUGUGAAGAGUGUAUAGCGACAUUUCAAUACCCGUAGUCUCGGUACAAGCUAUUUUAAGACAAACGUAAAAAUGUACAGUACUCCAGAAUUUUAAUUUAACCAUGUCUUUAAUAAUUGUUCCGAAAAUGAACCAAAUCAAGAAUUAACCGUUAAUAUUAUUCACUACUGCCAUACAUCGUUAGUCUACAAUUUAAAUAGAACCGUUUUCGUUCCGAAAGCAGUAUGUCUUAAUUUAGCAAUUUGUUACUCAGACAGACAUUUAAACUAAAACCUUCAAUAAGUCAUAAAAUAAUAUAUCGUUGCUAAAUUUAACAUUGAAUCAAGGUUUAACAUUUCCCACUAGACUCACUUUCACACACUCGCAGUUUCAUUUACACCUGAUGUCCUGUUAUUGCCAACAGAAUUACUGUAUUCAUAAGACUAAAAUAUUUAUCAGUGUGUCUAUGCACAUUCAGGCAUAUGUAUGUGAUGAAUUUCUAUCCCGUUUCAGAAACGCUUUCAUUCCCUAGAAUUACCUGUUCUAAGCUAGUCUAUAGAAAUUCAGACGCUCUAAAAUAAAAAUGGAACAAAAAGAAACUUCUAAAAUUUAUAAACACGCUUCACCUCUCGCCUAAGAUUAAUUUAUAGAUGUAGAUACAUCAGCUUACAGAUUUUAAACAUACUACAACGGACUCAGAUAUGUACGGGUUGUUCAUGGAUGACGUAUCUCUUUAAAAGAGUAAUUUUCACAUUUCUGAGUGUAAAGUAUCCUGUAUCUUCUUUCGUUUGAUUAUUUCAUCUUUAUUCUUUUGCUCUGCUUCAUAUCAAUAUAUAAUAACUUACAUAAAUCCGAUCCAUAUGUACGGUUAAAAAAUCUGUCUCUUUGUAGAGAAAAGGUGAUACAAAUAGGCUUAAAUGACACAGGGAAGUGUAACAUCAAAACACUUUAUUAUCCUCUGUGCAAUUACAAUCAGUUCCACACAUCGGCGGCUCAGCGUGUGAGUAUUCAUAUGCGUCGUAAAAUGGAAUUAAGACACC